RNAcentral lists this long non-coding RNA (1166 nucleotides) under Felis catus (domestic cat). RNAcentral describes it as "lncRNA (ENSFCAG00000051852.1)". Lineage: Eukaryota; Metazoa; Chordata; Mammalia; Carnivora; Felidae. The record is from RNAcentral.
AUUGGAUUAGAAUAGAGGCAGAAGCAGCCCUUUACUCCCAUAGAGGAAGUUGUUCCCACAGGAUCUAAACCAGUGUUCAGACACAUGAUAUGAUAAGCAGAAGGGAGCCGGAAUAUAGGGCUAGUACUUUGUCAUUGAACCAGUGUCACACCCCCUAGAACACAGGGAAACUCAUGUGGCCCUACAAGGAUGAAAGUGUCUUCUAGCAUCCUGAGGAAAAAUAUCUUGCAAAAAAGAAGACUUGAUAGAUGCUUUAGCAAAUACUCCUCCAUUCCCAGCAUUUUCUGUCUAUAAUUACAUUUCCCAAAAGAGGGCAACAUAUUAAAAAAGAGCUGUCAUAUUUACUGCACUCCUUCCCUUAAACUGGAUGGUGAAUUACAAAGCACAAGUGGCAAAGAGCCAAACAAUCCUUGCUCAUUUAAUCUUGUUUUCUCCUGUGCCAGUUAUUGACCAAUCAAUUGCCUUGGAUCUGGCAGGAGUGGUUUUCUCUGAGGGUCUGAGACCAACAGCAACCAGGAGCAGCUCAAACUGGAUUUCUUCUCAGCCCUGUACAUAAAGGACAUUCUUUCCUUGCUAUGGAAAAAAGCAGAUGCAAUUAGAAACUGCUAAGCUAAUAGCUAAAAUAAUGCUCUGACAGCAACAGAAACAGAAAGCGAAAACUCGGAAUUUGCGGGCAUGGAAAAUACUGCAAGGGAAGGACAGUUGAAUGUGUUCCAGGAUCCUAGGGCAGCCCCUGGCAGCUGCCCAGAGCACAGCAGGUCCCACUGCUCCUGUGCAAGGAAAGACCUUUUCUCUCACUGGAGCCCAGGCUGCUGGAAAGUGUCUCCUGAAACAACAGGACACAGGGAUAGCCCCACAACAACAUAGCUCACCUGCUGAAACAACCCCACUGAACUAGAUUCUGGAGCAUAGACAGGGAGAGGAGCUGCUAAGGGAGAUGUCACUGUGCAGGGAACACUCUACUUUCUGUCUCCUACAUGCUGGUGCCAAAGAAGAUGUGUGAGUCAUAAAUCAGAGGAAGGACGAUUACAAUGGCAGGAAAGAUGAAGUGAGCAGAAUGUUAUUGGAAUUGGGCCAUUUCUCCAAGCUCUAGGGCUGACGUGAUGCUAUUUGUUGCAUCAUUUAUUCACCUAAUAAAGUGUUCAACAAAUAUUUAUUGAGGGCCA